RNAcentral lists this ribosomal RNA (312 nucleotides) under Triticum aestivum (bread wheat). Its description in RNAcentral is "partial small subunit ribosomal RNA". The record is from RNAcentral. Lineage: Eukaryota; Viridiplantae; Streptophyta; Magnoliopsida; Poales; Poaceae.
AUGUUCGUUGCAUUCAACUUUAAAGCUACAAUUAUCCUAAGUGGCACCGCAAAGAUAGUACACUUGUACACACCAACAACCACAAAGAUCGUGGUUUCGCUAAAACAAACAUGUGGAUACCAUAACACAGACAAGAAACAAUCACCGAGACAAAGUAGAACUGAUUCAAACUUCAGAACACGAGAAGCUCCCAGUUUCAAAAAAAGAAAAGAACACGAGAAGCCAAUGAUCAACAGCAUACCCAGGUGGCAGUGUAAAACUGCCCAGCCUACAACAGGACAAUCUGGUUACAAAUUUUUCGAACAUGUGUAG